CAGCCGCCGCGGUAAUACGUAGGGUGCGAGCGUUAAUCGGAUUUACUGGUCGUAAAGCGUGCGCAGGCGGCCCGUUAAGACAGGUGUGAAAUCCCUGGGCUCAACCUAGGAAUUGCGCUUGUGACUGGCGGGCUCGAGUACGGUAGAGGGGGGUGGAAUUCCUGGUGUAGCAGUGAAAUGCGUAGAGAUCAGGAGGAACACCGAUGGCGAAGGCAGCCCCCUGGGCCUGUACUGACGCUCAUGCACGAAAGCGUGGGGAGCAAACAGGAUUAGAUACCCUGGUAGUCCACGCCCUAAACGAUGGGUACUAGCCGUUUGGUGCGCGAUAGCGCUGAGUGGCGAAGCUAACGCGUGAAGUACCCCGCCUGGGGAGUACGGCCGCAAGGUUGAAACUUAAAGGAAUUGGCGGG
This 410-nucleotide ribosomal RNA is filed under the name uncultured microorganism. RNAcentral describes it as "bacterial SSU rRNA". It matches the Rfam family "Bacterial small subunit ribosomal RNA", at positions 509 to 917 of the family's 1533-position model. The record is from RNAcentral.